UAACGCGAAGAACCUUACCCGGGCUUGAACUGCAGCGGAAGGAUACAGAGAUGUUGACGUCCUUCGGGACCGCUGUGGAGGUGCUGCAUGGUUGUCGUCAGCUCGUGCCGUGAGGUGUCGGCUUAAGUGCCAUAACGAGCGCAACCCCUUUCAUUAGUUGCCAUCACUUCGGGUGGGCACUCUGGUGAUACUGCCACCGUAAGGUGUGAGGAAGGUGGGGAUGACGUCAAAUCAGCACGGCCCUUACGUCCGGGGCUACACACGUGUUACAAUGGGUGAUACAGAUGGCCGGUUCACGGCAACGUGGAUCAAAUCUUGAAGGUCAUCCUCAGUUCGGAUUGGGGUCUGCAACCCGACCCCAUGAAGCUGGAUUCGCUAGUAAUCGCGCAUCAGCCAUGGCGCGGUGAAUACGUUCCCGGGUCUUGUACACACCGA
Molecule: ribosomal RNA, 435 nt
Filed under: uncultured rumen bacterium
Lineage: Bacteria
Description: bacterial SSU rRNA
Rfam family: Bacterial small subunit ribosomal RNA
Source: RNAcentral